GAUGAACGCUGGCGGCGUGCCUAACACAUGCAAGUCGAGCGAAGCGCUUAAAUUAGAUUUCUUCGGAAUGACGAUUUUUGUGACUGAGCGGCGGACGGGUGAGUAACGCGUGGGUAACCUGCCUCAUACAGGGGGAUAACAGUUAGAAAUGACUGCUAAUACCGCAUAAGACCCCAGCCUCGCAUGAAGCGGUGGUAAAAACUCCGGUGGUAUGAGAUGGACCCGCGUCGGAUUAGCUAGUUGGUAAGGUAACGGCUUACCAAGGCGACGAUCAGUAGCCGAGCUGAGAGGGUGACCGGCCACAUUGGGGCUGAGACACGGCCCAGACUCCUACGGGAGGCAGGAGUGGGGAAUAUUGCACAAUGGGGGAAACCCUGAUGCAGCGACGCCGGGUGAAGGAUGAAGUAUUUCGGUAUGUAAACUUCUAUCAGCAGGGAAGAAAGUGACGGUACCUGACUAAGAAGCCCCGGCUAACUACGUG
Molecule: ribosomal RNA, 481 nt
Filed under: uncultured bacterium
Lineage: Bacteria
Description: partial 16S ribosomal RNA
Rfam family: Bacterial small subunit ribosomal RNA
Source: RNAcentral